GCGUGUUUGGCCCAGCGGUAUUGGGAGGGGCAUCGCCGGUGCCGCCGUAAAUCGAAGUGGCCCCGGGUUCGAUUCCCGGGGUCAGCG
Non-coding RNA from Dichotomopilus funicola, 87 nucleotides. NCBI's taxonomy places the organism in Eukaryota, Fungi, Ascomycota, Sordariomycetes, Sordariales, Chaetomiaceae. The record is from the annotation of a RefSeq genome assembly.